AGCUCCGGCCAACUUCGUGCCAGCAGCCGCGGUAAUACGAGGGGAGCGAGUGUUGUUCGGUUUUAUUGGGCGUAAAGGGUAUGUAGGCGGUUUUGUAAGUCAACACUUAAAUCUUGAGACUUAAUCUCAUUACAGGUGUUGAUACUGCAUAACUACGAACUUAAUAAGGAUGAACACAAUUCCAAGUGUAGAGGUGAAAUUCGUUGAUAUUUGGAGGAGUACCAAAGGCGAAGGCAGUUCAUUGGGUUAAGUUGACGCUGAGGUACGAAAGCGUGGGGAGCAAACAGGAUUAGAUACCCUGGUAGUCCACGCCCUAAACGAUGAGUGCUAACAGUCUGGUAUAAAUAUACAUCUCGAAAAUAUGUCUUCGGAUAUAUCAGUAGGUUGUAUAUUUUAUAUUUAAUUGUAUAGCUAACGCGUUAAGCACUCCGCCUGGGGACUACGACCGCAAGGUUAAAACUCAAAGGAAUUGACGGAGACCCGCACAAGCGGUGGAGCAUGUGGUUUAAUUCGAAUCUACACGAAGAACCUUACCAGCUCUUGACAUUUUUGGCUAAACAUGUUAGAAAUAAUAUGCCGCUUACAAUUGUAAGAAUGCCUUGAACAGGUGCUGCAUGGCUGUUGUCAGCUCGUGUCGUGAGAUGUAUGGUAAGAAUGCCUUGAACAGGUGCUGCAUGGCUGUUGUCAGCUCGUGUCGUGAGAUGUAUGGUUAAGUUCCAUAACGAGCGUAACCCUUGCUCAUAGUUGCCGAAACAAAUAGGCUCUCUAUGAGGACUGCUAAUUAAAAGUUAGAGGAAGGUGAGGAUCACAACAAGUCAUCAUGGCCCUUAUGGGCUGGGCUACACACGUGCUACAAUGGUGGUUACAAAGAGUCGCAACGUUGUGAAGCAGAGCUAAUCUCAAAAGACCAUCUCAGUUCGGAUUGUACUCUGCAACUCGAGUACAUGAAGUAGGAAUCGCUAGUAAUCGUGGAUCAGCAUGCCACGGUGAAUACGUUCUCGGGUCUUGUACACACCGCCCGUCACACCAUGGGAGCUUCGCUUUGAUCGAAAUCAAGUCAACCUUGAUCACAUCUUGGCAAGUGACUGAGGUGAAGUCGUAACAAGGUAGCCGUAGGGGAACCUGUGGCUGAAACAUAA
Molecule: ribosomal RNA, 1139 nt
Filed under: Candidatus Hodgkinia cicadicola
Lineage: Bacteria; Pseudomonadati; Pseudomonadota; Alphaproteobacteria; Hyphomicrobiales
Description: bacterial SSU rRNA
Rfam family: Bacterial small subunit ribosomal RNA
Source: RNAcentral